Molecule: ribosomal RNA, 279 nt
Filed under: uncultured bacterium
Lineage: Bacteria
Description: partial 16S ribosomal RNA
Rfam family: Bacterial small subunit ribosomal RNA
Source: RNAcentral
UGCCAGCCGCCGCGGUAAUACGGGGGGGGCUAGCGUUAUUCGGAAUUAUUGGGCGUAAAGGGCGCGUAGGCGGCGUGGUAAGUCGUAGGUGAAAUCCCUCGGCCCAACCGAGGAACUGCCUGCGAAACUGCCUCGCUCGAGUCCGGGAGGGGGUAGCGGAAUUCCCAGUGUAGCGGUGAAAUGCGUAGAUAUUGGGAGGAACACCUGUGGCGAAGGCGGCUUUCUGGUCCGUUACUGACGCUGAGGCGCGAAAGCGUGGGGAGCAAACAGGAUUAGAUA